This 401-nucleotide long non-coding RNA is filed under the name Gallus gallus (chicken). RNAcentral describes it as "lncRNA (ENSGALG00010007057.1)". Lineage: Eukaryota; Metazoa; Chordata; Aves; Galliformes; Phasianidae. The record is from RNAcentral.
GUGAAGAAGAACAACGGAAAGAACAGAAAUAACGGAAAGGACCUCCAGAGAGUCAGAAACAUACGACAAAAAAUUAGGUGACAGGUGAAGAACAACAACGGAAAGAACGGAAAGAACGGAAAAAACGGAAAUAACGGAAAUAACGGAAAAUACGGAAAUAAUAACGGAAAUAACAGAAAUAACCUCCACAGAGACAGAAACAUACAGCAGAAAAUUAACUGACAGGUCAAGAACAACAACAGAAAUAACGGAAAUAAAGGAAAUAACGGAAAUAACCUCCGAAAGACAUAAACAUACAGCAGAAAAUUAGGUGACAGGUGAAGAAGAACAACGGAAAGAACAGAAAUAACGGAAAGGACCUCCAGAGAGUCAGAAACAUACGACAAAAAAUAUGGUGACAG